AGCAGCCGCGGUAAUUCCAGCUCCAAUAGCGUAUAUUAAAGUUGUUGCAGUUAAAAAGCUCGUAGUUGAAUUUCGGGGUUAGUAGGUUGGUCAUGCCUCUGGUAUGUACUGGUCUCACUGAUUCCUCCUUCCUGAUGAACCUUAAUGCCAUUUAUUUGGUGUUUUGGGGAAUUUGGACUGUUACUUUGAAAAAUUAGAGUGUUUAAAGCAAGCUAACGCUUGAAUACAUUAGCAUGGAAUAAUGAAAUAGGACGUUCGAUCCUAUUUUGUUGGUUUCUAGGAUUGACGUAAUGAUUAAUAGGGAUAGUUGGGGGCAUUAGUAUUCAAUUGUCAGAGGUGAAAUUCUUGGAUUUAUUGAAGACUAACUACUGCGAAAGCAUUUGCCAAGGAUGUUUUCAUUAAUCAAGAACGAAAGUUAGGGGAUCGAAGACGAUCAGAUACCGUCGUAGUCUUAACCAUAAACUAUGCCGACUAGGGAUCGGAUGAUGUUAAUUUUUA
This 498-nucleotide ribosomal RNA is filed under the name uncultured Glomus. RNAcentral's name for it is "SSU rRNA". It matches the Rfam family "Eukaryotic small subunit ribosomal RNA", at positions 569 to 1072 of the family's 1831-position model. Lineage: Eukaryota; Fungi; Glomeromycota; Glomeromycetes; Glomerales; Glomeraceae. The record is from RNAcentral.